Molecule: ribosomal RNA, 253 nt
Filed under: uncultured bacterium
Lineage: Bacteria
Description: partial 16S ribosomal RNA
Rfam family: Bacterial small subunit ribosomal RNA
Source: RNAcentral
UACGGAGUAUGCAAGCGAUAUCCGGAAUGAUUGGGCGUAAAGCGACCGCAGGUGGUUGUGUGUGUCUAUUGUCAAAGCAUCAUGCUUAACAUGAUAAAGGCAGUAGAAACUACACGACUAGAGUGCGUUCGGGGCAGAGGGAAUUCCUGGUGUAGCGGUGAAAUGCGUAGAGAUCAGGAAGAACACCGGUGGCGAAAGCGCUCUGCUAGGCCGCAACUGACACUGAGGGAAGAAAGCUAGGGGAGCGAAUGGG